GACGAACGCUGGCGGCGUGCUUAACACAUGCAAGUCGAGGGAGGCCGACCUUCGGGUCGAGUCGACCGGCGGACGGGUGAGUAACACGUGACCAACCUACCUUCGGGAGGGGGAUAACCUGGGGAAACCCGGGCUAAUACCGCAUGAAGCACCAUGGUCGCAUGACCGAGGUGUGAAAGGGGGCCUCUGCUUGCAAGCUCCUGCCUGAAGAGGGGGUCGCGACGUAUCAGCUCGUUGGUAGGGUAACGGCCUACCAAGGCUACGACGCGUAGUGGGUCUGAGAGGACGACCCGCCACAUUGGGACUGAGAUACGGCCCAGACUCCUACGGGAGGCAG
This 337-nucleotide ribosomal RNA is filed under the name uncultured Gemmatimonadota bacterium. Its description in RNAcentral is "bacterial SSU rRNA". It matches the Rfam family "Bacterial small subunit ribosomal RNA", at positions 28 to 351 of the family's 1533-position model. Lineage: Bacteria; Pseudomonadati; Gemmatimonadota. The record is from RNAcentral.